Molecule: ribosomal RNA, 235 nt
Filed under: uncultured bacterium
Lineage: Bacteria
Description: partial 16S ribosomal RNA
Rfam family: Bacterial small subunit ribosomal RNA
Source: RNAcentral
AGUAACCUGCCUUGGAGUGGGGAAUAACAGCUGGAAACAGCUGCUAAUACCGCAUAAUAUAUCUGGGUCGCAUGGCUCUGGAUAUCAAAGAUUUAUCGCUCUGAGAUGGACUCGCGUCUGAUUAGCUGGUUGGCGGGGUAACGGCCCACCAAGGCGACGAUCAGUAGCCGGACUGAGAGGUUGGCCGGCCACAUUGGGACUGAGACACGGCCCAGACUCCUACGGAAGGCAGCAG